UGGGGAAUAUUGCACAAUGGGCGAAAGCCUGAUGCAGCGACGCCGCGUGAGGGAUGACGGCCUUCGGUUUGUAAACCUCUUUCAGCAGGGACGAAGCGCAAGUGACGGUACCUGCAGAAGAAGCACCGGCUAACUACGUGCCAGCAGCCGCGUUAAUACGUAGGGUUUAAGCGUUGUCCGGAAUUACUGGGCGUAAAGAGUUCGUAGUCGGUUUGUCGCGUCGUUUGUGAAAACCAGCAGCUCAACUGCUGGCUUGCAGGCGAUGCGGGCAGACUUGGGUACUGCAAGGAGGACUGGAAUUCCUGGUGUGGCGGUGAAAUGCGAAGAUAUCAGGAGGAACACCGGUGGCGAAGGCGGGUCUCUGGGCAGUAACUGACGCUGAGAAACGAAAACGAGGGUAGCGAACAGG
Molecule: ribosomal RNA, 409 nt
Filed under: bacterium
Lineage: Bacteria
Description: partial 16S ribosomal RNA
Rfam family: Bacterial small subunit ribosomal RNA
Source: RNAcentral